RNAcentral lists this ribosomal RNA (294 nucleotides) under uncultured prokaryote. Its description in RNAcentral is "partial 16S ribosomal RNA". It matches the Rfam family "Bacterial small subunit ribosomal RNA", at positions 338 to 646 of the family's 1533-position model. The record is from RNAcentral.
CCUACGGGGGGCAGCAAUUAGGAAUCUUGCACAAUGGGCGAAAGCCUGACGCAGCGACGCCGCGUGACUGAUGAAGUCUUUCGGGAUGUAAAGGUCUUUUGCAGGGGACGAAGGAAGUGACGGUACCCUGCGAAUAAGCUCCGGCUAACUACGUGCCAGCAGCCGCGGUAAUACGUAGGGAGCGAGCGUUGUCCGAAUUUACUGGGCGUAAAGCGCGCGUAGGCGGGUGAUUAAGUUGGGGGUGAAAUGCCGAGGCUGAACCUCGGAACUGCCUCCAAAACUGGUCGCCUUGAG